Molecule: transfer RNA, 60 nt
Filed under: Bragasellus peltatus
Lineage: Eukaryota; Metazoa; Arthropoda; Malacostraca; Isopoda; Asellidae
Description: transfert RNA-S2(TCA)
Source: RNAcentral
AGCUAUUUAGCUAUAUAAGUAAAUGUUUUGAAAACAUUUGAAAAAGAAAUUUAAUAGCUA